UUUUUAUUAGCUAAAUUGGUGAUACCCCCAAACACUUUAUACCCUAACAUGCUCUGAUGCCUUCUCCCUUUAUCCAAGAUGGUAGUUGGCUUGAAUGAGCAUUCGGUGGAUGGGGCAUCAUGUGAGCCCUUCUUCUACUUACAGUUCUUUGAUGGAGUUGCUAGAUCAGAAUCGUAGAAAGAGGCCGGAGAAGCUGCCCGUUGACCUCCCUGCUAGUUCAAGUUCAAAGCCCUAACCCUCCCUCUCUCUAUUGAAGCCCUUUAAUUUCUCUCUGAUUCGAAGCGAACUGUUGAUCUCCAUAACCAAUGCUUCAAUUACUGAAGCCCUAACCCCCCUCUCUCUCACUCGAAGUAAACAAUCAAUUGUACCAAUAAUUGAUUCAUUUUAUAAGAGGUAUUUCCUGGCCCAACUUUGCUCUGCUACUUUAUAAUCCCUGGCUACUUUGAGCUAACAUCACAUCUUUUUUUCAUUGACAAGAACCACACUCACACCCAACAUCUCAUCUUCUAGUUUACUAUUCCUAUUUAAUUAGUGCAAUCUUUGGUCCAAAUCUGAAGAUUCUUAAUCCGGGAGAGUUCGCGGGUUUUGUCUCGAUACCUUUGCCUGUCGGGACAUGGGGUGGUUAUCCAGGUCUGCAGUUGCUGCUAUUUUUUUGUUGCUGCUCUAUGUAGUUUUUGCUGCUGCACCGAAAACAAGUUACAGAUGUAAGGGGAAGCCUUUUUUGGCAAGUAAAUAUCAAGGGAAAGGCUUUUUUAUUUUUAUUUUAUUUAUUUAUUUUUUUUUUUAGAUGCAUUUUUUGUUGAGUUGGCUUAGGUGGUUGGUUACGUCUUCUAUGAUUUUUGGCCAAUACUGAACAUAGGGAUUUUCUAAAAUUUGCUUGUAGUCUGUUGUGACAGUGUCCUUGUGAUGCUUUGUGAAAUGCAAUCAUAUUAUUUAGCGGGGGAAAAAAAGAUGUAUGAGGUGGAUCAUGUAUAUUGGUUUCUGAUUUUUGUAGCUCAUGCCCGGAUGGUUAUGAUGUUAUUGGUCCAUUUUAUGUGGAUUCGGGUUCGAUCA
Molecule: long non-coding RNA, 1053 nt
Organism: Cornus florida
Lineage: Eukaryota; Viridiplantae; Streptophyta; Magnoliopsida; Cornales; Cornaceae
Exons: 4
Source: RefSeq, a predicted model, not a curated record